GUUUACCUGUGAGUGGAUGGUGUUCAGCACCAGGGACAGGUUUGUUUACCUGUGUGUGGAUGGUGUUCAGCACCAGGGACAGGUUUGUUUACCU
Non-coding RNA from Branchiostoma floridae (Florida lancelet), 94 nucleotides. The record is from Rfam. Lineage: Eukaryota; Metazoa; Chordata; Leptocardii; Amphioxiformes; Branchiostomatidae.